AUCAAGUAAAUGAAGUUUCCAAUAAAAAGAUAUAAAAUGUUCUAUACAUUAUUACCACUGGUGUAACAAUAAUUAAACAUCAUAAACUUAUAUUAUAAUAAAAAUAUUAAAAAAAAAUGAAUGCACAAGUGUCAUCCUGAUAUUUAAAAAGUACAAACAUACAACACAACUGCCUGCCUGAGUGAAGGAAAUAAUAAUUAAAAACUAAUAAAAAAUAGCAAUAAUAAUUAAAAAGGAAAACUUAAAAAAUAAAAAAUGUAACUGCC
Molecule: long non-coding RNA, 266 nt
Filed under: Vigna radiata
Lineage: Eukaryota; Viridiplantae; Streptophyta; Magnoliopsida; Fabales; Fabaceae
Description: long non-coding RNA (VRAD_LNC001424)
Source: RNAcentral